AGGUUUUUGACUGCUGGGGUGUGGCGCUUGAAAACAAGGCCUACAUGCUCUACUCAACUAAGGACUUCACUCCCGCUCAACACCAAGCCACCAAAGACCUUCUUGAGUGCUUUAAAGGCACCGAAGCGGCGGAUCUACCAGCGCAGUCCCUCGAUGACCUCGCUUCACUUUGGAGUCAGUACACGAAGUCGACGGGCCGGUGAAAUACGCGAAGCAGCGCAAAAGAAAAAGAAACAGCAAUAAAGAA
Dermacentor silvarum is the source of this 247-nucleotide long non-coding RNA. RefSeq lists it as uncharacterized. The transcript has 3 exons. The record is from RefSeq and is a predicted model, not a curated record. NCBI's taxonomy places the organism in Eukaryota, Metazoa, Arthropoda, Arachnida, Ixodida, Ixodidae.